UUUCAGCUUUGGGUGCUGACGGUGG
RNAcentral lists this non-coding RNA (25 nucleotides) under Cricetulus griseus (Chinese hamster). Lineage: Eukaryota; Metazoa; Chordata; Mammalia; Rodentia; Cricetidae. The record is from RNAcentral.